UACGUAGGUGGCAAGCGUUGUCCGGAAUUAUUGGGCGUAAAGCGCGCGCAGGUGGUUUCUUAAGUCUGAUGUGAAAGCCCACGGCUCAACCGUGGAGGGUCAUUGGAAACUGGGGAACUUGAGUGCAGAAGAGGAAAGUGGAAUUCCAAGUGUAGCGGUGAAAUGCGUAGAGAUUUGGAGGAACACCAGUGGCGAAGGCGACUUUCUGGUCUGUAACUGACACUGAGGAGCGAAAGCGUGGGUAGCAAACAGG
RNAcentral lists this ribosomal RNA (253 nucleotides) under uncultured bacterium. Its description in RNAcentral is "partial 16S ribosomal RNA". It matches the Rfam family "Bacterial small subunit ribosomal RNA", at positions 524 to 776 of the family's 1533-position model. The record is from RNAcentral.